GCCUGUGUGGUGGAAUUGGUAGACGCGUUGGACUCAAAAUCCAAUGGUAGCAAUACCGUGCCGGUUCAAGUCCGGCCACAGGCACCA
This 87-nucleotide transfer RNA is filed under the name bacterium. RNAcentral describes it as "tRNA-Leu". It matches the Rfam family "tRNA". Rfam says of the family: Transfer RNA (tRNA) molecules are approximately 80 nucleotides in length. Their secondary structure includes four short double-helical elements and three loops (D, anti-codon, and T loops). Further hydrogen bonds mediate the characteristic L-shaped molecular structure. tRNAs have two regions of fundamental functional importance: the anti-codon, which is responsible for specific mRNA codon recognition, and the 3' end, to which the tRNAs corresponding amino acid is attached (by aminoacyl-tRNA synthetases). tRNAs cope with the degeneracy of the genetic code in two manners: having more than one tRNA (with a specific anti-codon) for a particular amino acid; and 'wobble' base-pairing, i.e. permitting non-standard base-pairing at the 3rd anti-codon position. The record is from RNAcentral.